Podarcis muralis (Common wall lizard) is the source of this 1160-nucleotide non-coding RNA. The record is from RefSeq and is a predicted model, not a curated record. NCBI's taxonomy places the organism in Eukaryota, Metazoa, Chordata, Lepidosauria, Squamata, Lacertidae.
CUGGGAUCUUUGGAUCAUCAUCUUCAUCCGCAAGAAACGGAGCGAGAAAUCAGCCUACAAAGCAGCCUCAGCAAGUGACCAGGGGUCCAACAGCUCCGCCAGCGUUUCAUACCAGCCCAGUGUGUGAGAUGAGACCAGAAGGAGCCUGCCCAAGUUUGGCUGUGAAUUGCAGAGGCUCAGAUCCCCUCCCGUCCUUAAAUGCUGUUUCUGAUGUUUCUUAAUCCUGGUUCUCACCCAUCUAUUCUGACUUCAGCUGUAACUUGUAUUUGAGGAUAAUCAUGUUUUUCGGAUGGAUUUUGGCCAAUUUUGCUUUGCAACUGAUUUUCAGAAAUGUUCUUGUAUUAAUCAGAAAUGUGCCAGAUAUACGCAACUAAAAGCUUUAAAAAGGGAUGAGGAGAUUGAGCAUGACUUGCAGUGAUUUUGAAGGUUUCUCUUGGUUCUUUGCUGCUGUGUUUCCCUCUACAAUCCCUUCUCCAAUCUUGUGUCCCUCGCUUGCCAUCCAAAUUGAAGGAAAGACAACAUUUGAGAACUGCUUUAGGGGUAUUAUGUGUGAAAUAGCCUACGUUGUUACUGCCUGCCUGCCUCUUGGGACGCCCAGCCUUAGGCUAAACGGAUGUAAUGUCUGAUCCUGCUGACAACCAAGGAGAAAGCCAUCAAGGAGGAGAGGCAGAUCAGGAGCUUCAUGGCCAGUUUGAUCUGAAAUAAGCAGCCCCUUCUUUUUGACUACAGGCCUUCAGUUCAUGAGACUUGUUGCCUGGUCCCCACAGCCUUCUAGGAGGGGAGACCCACUGGGGGAGGGACCACAUGAACUCCUCCAAGUAAACUAGUUUUGUUGGCCUUCAAUUUGCCUAAUUUUUAUCUCGCACAUUCUUGCUUUCUCACCUGUGGUCGGUUGAGGAUCAUACUUUGCCUCUCUGCGGUUCCCUCCAUAUGAUUCCCGCCAUCUUCCUUCCCUGCUCAUAGACUGGCAUUCCUUCAGGAAACUUUCAUAGAAAUAAGAAUGCAAUAACUCUUUUAGACCUCCAGGGGCUGCAGGACUCUUCUUGCCCAACCCAAUGGAUUUGCUGCAUCUUGCUUUGAAGACACUGGAUGUAAUUAUUAUUAUCAUUACUCCUUUUGUAAUAUCUGUUUGACUGAAAUAAAUAAGAGUGCACCCCCUU